RNAcentral lists this ribosomal RNA (253 nucleotides) under uncultured bacterium. RNAcentral describes it as "partial 16S ribosomal RNA". It matches the Rfam family "Bacterial small subunit ribosomal RNA", at positions 524 to 776 of the family's 1533-position model. The record is from RNAcentral.
UACGUAGGGGGCAAGCGUUGUCCGGAAUUAUUGGGCGUAAAGGGCGCGUAGGCGGCUUGGCAAGUGGAUGGUGAAAUCCCUCGGCUUAACCGAGGAACUGCCAUCCAGACUGCUUUGCUUGAGGCCGGGAGAGGUGAGUGGAAUUCCCAGUGUAGCGGUGAAAUGCGUAGAUAUUGGGAGGAACACCAGUGGCGAAGGCGGCUCACUGGACCGGUUCUGACGCUGAGGCGCGAAAGCGUGGGGAGCAAACGGG